Molecule: ribosomal RNA, 490 nt
Filed under: uncultured bacterium
Lineage: Bacteria
Description: partial 16S ribosomal RNA
Rfam family: Bacterial small subunit ribosomal RNA
Source: RNAcentral
AUUGAACGCUGGCGGCAGGCCUAACACAUGCAAGUCGAACGGUAACAGGAAGAAGCUUGCUUCUUUGCUGACGAGUGGCGGACGGGUGAGUAAUGUCUGGGAAACUGCCUGAUGGAGGGGGAUAACUACUGGAAACGGUAGCUAAUACCGCAUAACGUCGCAAGACCAAAGAGGGGGACCUUCGGGCCUCUUGCCAUCGGCUGUGCCCAGAUGGGAUUAGCUAGUAGGUGGGGUAACGGCUCACCUAGGCGACGAUCCCUAGCUGGUCUGAGAGGAUGACCAGCCACACUGGAACUGAGACACGGUCCAGACUCCUACGGGAGGCAGCAGUGGGGAAUAUUGCACAAUGGGCGCAAGCCUGAUGCAGCCAUGCCGCGUGUAUGAAGAAGGCCUUCGGGUUGUAAAGUACUUUCAGCGGGGAGGAAGGGAGUAAAGUUAAUACCUUUGCUCAUUGACGUUACCCGCAGAAGAAGCACCGGCUAACUCCGUG